AGUCUUCUGUAUCCAUACUGAGAUUUCGUCACACACUAGACCACAAGGGCUGAUGAAACUGAAGGUUCUGGGUUCG
Molecule: microRNA precursor, 76 nt
Filed under: Schistosoma margrebowiei
Lineage: Eukaryota; Metazoa; Platyhelminthes; Trematoda; Strigeidida; Schistosomatidae
Description: mir-3492 microRNA precursor family
Rfam family: mir-3492 microRNA precursor family
Source: Rfam by way of RNAcentral